This 4102-nucleotide long non-coding RNA is filed under the name Medicago truncatula (barrel medic). Its description in RNAcentral is "long non-coding RNA (MTRU_LNC000179)". The record is from RNAcentral. Lineage: Eukaryota; Viridiplantae; Streptophyta; Magnoliopsida; Fabales; Fabaceae.
CUUUGCAUUUCUGAUUCUCAUCCCUCAAGGCUUUGGUAAUGCUCCUAACCAUAAUAAACAUUUACAUCAUCCAUCAUCAACAUAUGUACAUCCUACCACCUUACCCAAACCAACUUACCCUGCCAGUACCAACAUUCCAAAAAAGCAUCCUCACCACCCUCCAAAAGAAGAUAACACUCAUUUCUAAAGUAUGAAAUGAGAGUUAUGAAAUAUAUAUGUACUGAAUAAGUGGUUCUAGUUACCAAGCUGUUUGUUUUCUAUAUAGUAAUAUGUACUCUCCUACUUGGCAACUGUGGGUGGGGUGUUUUUGUGUUUUGUGUGUGUACGUGUCAUGAAUAAAAAUUACUUGACAAGAAAGAGUGCUAUGUACUGCAGAUUAUAAAUAUUUUUAUUUGUGACACCAGAUUAUAAUAAAUAAAUAUUAUGAUUGUGUGAGAUUGAUAGGUUUAAUUGAUUUAUAUAUAUCGAGCAAUUUCAGACCGUAAAUAAGUCUAUAAUAUAAUACUAGUUAUUGCUAAUACUACCUUUUACGUAAACCUUGCUCUUCCUAAAAAUAAAAUAAUAUCAGUCAAACAAUAAAAGUGUGAAGAAACUUGUGAGCAAUUACAUGACGAUGUUGAUUAAUAUCCUCGCAAGCUCCUUUUUUGUGGAUGUUGAUACUCUCAUUUUUUGUGAGAAAUCUUGGUCUACAAUUACAACUAUCAAAGCCAGGCUUUUCCUUUUUAAAUUAAUUUCAGGCCUUAAAGUUAACUUUCAUAAAUGUUUGUUAUUUAGUGUUAAUAUAUCUCUUAUUUGGUUGAAAAUUGAUGUCGGCACAUUGAAAAAGGUUGAAAACACUGGUAAAAGACGUAAAUACCCCGUCGACAGUUAAUUACCGAGGAAAACAACCGACGGCAGUUAACUACUGAGGAAAACUUCGACAGUAAAUUACCGUCGAUUCGAUCCUGAGCAUAUGCAAAACAGAAGCAUCAGUUUUCCCAUUUCAUCUUUUCUCCAAAACUUCUCAAAAUUCACUCCAAUUAAGUUUUGGACGAAAUUCAACUUAAUUAUCUCCAUUUUAUCACAAGUAAGUAGGUUUAAUAAUUUUUAAUCAUAAUGUCAGUUUGUGUAGGUUUUUUUUUAAGUUUUGUAGUUUGCAUGCUGUUAGGGUUGAUGUAGGAAUUGAUAUUUUGAUGAUUGCAUGUAGUUUAUAAAUGAAUGUAGCUGUUGUAAUUGAUGUUCGAACGUGUUUUAAGUACAGUAUGUUUUGAAUGGUGUCAAAUGAAGAUAAUUUGAAUACUUUUGAUACUUUGCACACAAAGUGUUUGACAAAAUGCCCAAAUGAAAAUUUUAUUGAUUAUUUAGUUAGUUUAUAUUAUGCGAAUUAUAUUGAUUAUUUAAUUUGAUAAAACAACAAGAAUCAUUCAAUAAUAUCUCCCUCUCCAACAAGUCGGCCCUAGUUUUCUCUCUCUAGGUUUUUUCUUACUGUUUCUUCAUUGAGGGGUGGUUUUGGGUCAAUUCUUGACCUAAAAUCACCCAUCUUCAUCUUUUUCUCUCUAUUUCAAUCUAAAUAAGUGAUUUUCAGAUAAAUCUAGCUUUUUUUCUUUGUGAUUUCAUCAUCUAAGUGUGGUGGUUUGUUUUUCAUCGUCUUGUGCGGCGUUGUUUCAUUUCCCGUCUUCGUGCGGUGUUCAUUUGAUUUAUAUUGAAAGAUCCAUUAUUCAAACAAAGAUUUGGGCGUCAACAUUGCAGAUCCGGAGGCCAUGGAUAUUCCGGUCACUUUAAUUUUAUCAUAUAUUUUUCUAGGCAUUAUGCUGUUAUAUGCUAUUAACUUGGAUGAUGCAUGUUUGUUCAUAGAUUCAUCCUUUACGUUUUUAGCAGUGUUGAAUGAUGUAAUCUCUCGAUUUGAAUGAAUGAAUAUCAUUUUGUUUUUGUCAAAAAAAAAAAGAUAUUUGUUUGAUCUUAAUAUAUAUAAAUGUUAAACAUUCUGAUAAGUUUCCCUAAUUAAUUCCGCCUUUUUGGGUGGAUGUGAGUAAUUUUUAUGAAAAAAAUUAGUUUGCAAGGAAUCAAACCAGGUACCAUAUGCUCACACUUUACAACUACAACCGCUAUGCCACUUCUAUUUUUGUAGAAAUAUUGUUGCUUCUAAAAAAGAAAUACAUGACUAAAACAUUUUUUUUAAAUCCCGAACCGCCCUAACAGUUUCCUCUCUCAUAUCAGUUAUUUUUUAUUAUUAGCAGUACCUUUAUUGAUAGUAGUGAUCUUUUUCAGUAUGCUUACUACGUUUUACGAUAUUAAAGUUGUAUCUUUAAAAUUGUAGAUAAUUUGACUGAUCCAGAUGAUAAUUUUAUCAUUAGAAACUUCACUUUUUCCUUUAAUUUUGCUGGCCUCUUUGUUUCUCCAAUAUUAUAUUACUUGAAGUUGUAUAUUCUAACUUUUUAUUUGCAAAAAUCACUACAGUAGACUAUAACAUUACUUUGUUUUGGCAAAGUAAGGACUUCGAUUCCUUAUUCAUUUUUGUUAAUUUCCAUUAUUUAUAAGGCGCUGAGAGAAUAUUAUGAAGGCUACCUUGAUUCUGCUACCAGAUUGUCGGAUCCACAGAAUCUAGGGGAUCCACAAGAGCUGGAAAAGAUUAGGACUACUUGUGUGAAAUGGUACCUCCUAUAUUUGGUUGGAUGCUUGUUGUUUGGUGAUAAAAGCAACAAACGCAUUGAGUUGGUCUAUCUGACGACCAUGGAGGACGGCUACGCGGGGAUGCGUAAUCAUUCUUGGGGAGGGAUGACAUUAGCAUACCUAUACCACUGUCUAUCUGAGGUCUCUUUACCUGGAGGUGGAGCUCUUGAGCGAAGCGUGACACUGGUCACUGCUGUAUGAAAUUGUCACAUUGGAACCUUAACUUUAUUUUUAUUUUUGUUUUAUUUUCGUGCGUAAUAAUUUAUAAAAGUGAUUUGUUUGGUUUGUGCAGGGAUGGUUUUUGUGUCACUUGCCGGAGCGGGGUCUGAGAUAGUACGGCUAUGUUCAGACCGUUCCCAUACCUCCUACGACGAUUGAGCCUCUUGAGCCAGCGGAGGUGGUUACGGCCUUCUUGGAGUUUGCUCUCCAUGUCCAAAGCCAGCAAGAGAGGGGUGAGUCGGUCCCGGAGGACGAGGGGCAUAAGCAUUCAAAGGGGUACAUGAAAUGAUUCUACCGUGUAUCCCAUCUUCUUAUGAUCGCCCCUGCUGCCGUUCCUGAGGACCACAGUUCCUAGACCUCCCUAUGAGGAGGUUAUUGUUGAGCAGCGGUGGGCCGGACAUCCUCCCGACCCAUACCAGAUGAUCAUCCAAAAUGUCAGAGUCGUAGUUAACAGCGCUAUGGAGGGGAUUCCUGAAGUGUAUUCAAAUCUUGUUGUUGUCCGCUUUAUUGAGACCAUCCAGCACCAGUAUCGCGUGUUGGAGGAGGUGCCGACUCCGCGGAGGAGGAGGAGGACACGGAAGUAGUAGGCUCUUAAAAAAAGCAUACUGUCUCCCCACCACCACAAUGAAUAUUGCCUAAAAAUAAUUCCGAUAUAUACAUCCACCUCCACUUAUAUUGAGUUAGACCAAAUCAAAUAAUUGCAAAAAAAAAAAAGUAAUCCUAAUCCACAAUCAAUAUUACCGAUAUAUUAGGCUUUUUGAAAGUUUGAUUUGCUUUGUGACGUGUAGCUUAAUCCGUAAGCAUAUGGAAAUCUGACGUAUUUCAUUAAUAAUUGUACCCUCCCACUCACCAUUGUCUCUAACUAGUAUAAAACAUUAUAUUAUUCCCUAUGUUUUAUGCAUCAAUACAAAAAUCACACUAAGAUGGCUUCUUUUUUCUCAUACUUGCUUGUGUUUUUCUUUGCAUUUCUGAUUCUCAUCCCUCAAGGCUUUGGUAAUAAUCCUAGCCAUAAUAAACAUUUACAUCAUCCACCAUCAACAUAUGUACAUCCUACCACCUUACCCAAACCAAUUUACCCUGCCAGUACCAACAUUCCAAAAAAGCAUCCUCACCACCCUCCAAAAGAAGAUAACACUCAUUUCUAAAGUAUGAAAUGAGAGUUUUGAACUAUAUAUAUGUACUGAAUAGGUGGUCCUAGUUACCAAGCUGUUUGUUUUCUAUAGUAAUAUGUACU